Long non-coding RNA from Diprion similis, 1041 nucleotides. RefSeq lists it as uncharacterized. The transcript has 4 exons. NCBI's taxonomy places the organism in Eukaryota, Metazoa, Arthropoda, Insecta, Hymenoptera, Diprionidae. The record is from RefSeq and is a predicted model, not a curated record.
UGUUGCGUCACGUCGUGAAAGCGGAAACGUCGCGAGUUUGAAUGACGAGAAGAAAGAAAAAGAAAGUCUAAUCGACGAGCGUGAAUAGAAGGAAGGUGAAUAAAAAAAACGAGAAAAAAAAAAACAAAACAUACGUAAAUAAUUUAAAACGCAUGUAACGCGUGUAACCGCUAAAUAAGUAACUAAAGAUUUUACGAUAUGAGGAUUAUUAUACGUUCGUUGUUCUGUUGUAAAGAAAAAGAAAGCUUAUUAUAAAUACGGAGGCGAACGAAGAGAUUUAAAAAUAAAGAUAAUUAAAAAUAAUAAGUAAAUUUGAAUGAACGCGAAAGAAGAUGAACAAAAUAUACGAAUUUCAUUUCUUGUUUUGUGGUGGUCUUCGGAAUCUUCGGUUUCGAUAAAUCGCUAAGGAUAUAAACUGAGAUAAGAAACACGUGCAAUAUACGAAGGCCUUUAAUAAGCUGCGGAAGAGCCGACGGCUAAUGCGGAAAGAGGAGAAACGAAAGAGGGCAGAUAAUCACUGACAUUGGCGACGACGACUAGAUUAACGCACUGACCUGGAUAAGCCAAAUAGAGAAAAACGGGAGUAGAUUUAGGCGCGAGGGAAAGGGUGAGCCGCGGGGCGAACUAGCCCUCUGGCGUGCUCCGCAAGGAUGCAGCUCUCAGGCGGGAGCAGGAGAAGCCAAAAGAUAAGAGCGACACCUCCCGCCCGGUUCACGACGUCGUCAACAAUAAAAACAACAGCGAUCAUCCCGAUCGGGUCGAAUCAUCAAGAGUCGACGACAUUAACGAUACGACACAAAGUUCCAAAACACCACCAGCUGCAAGCGUCGACCCCCCGCCGCAAGGAGGAGUGGGGAAAGAAAUAGGGGGACGACGCAGGGAGCCGGGUACCCAGGGGUCGGCGUCGCGAGCAGGUGCGAGGAAGAGACGAGGAACAGACCUCGAUUCGGCGGCAGCAGCAGCGGCAGCAGCAGCAGCAGCGGCAGGAGAAGGAGGAGGAGAGAGGAGGAGGAGGGAAGCGAAGUCGUCGUCGGAGGGGGG